GGUAAUUUCUCCCUCCUAUUUCCAAAAAUUUCCCAAAUACACCUUAACCCAGCUACUUGGACUCCUUCAAGGAUUCUCAAAUACCCUAGUUUGCUACAGCUGUCUCUCUCCUAAUACACCUUGACCCAGCUAGUUGGGACUCCUCUCCACGCCUUCGAUGCCUUAACGGCGGGGAUAUACCGGAAAUAUCCCUCGCCGACAACCUGAUAGCUCUUCGGAAUGGAAAGCGGCAGAGAUUUGAUUUCUCUUAGGUCGACGAUGGAUUUUGUUUUUUUCUUUCUUAGUAAAAUAUGGGUACUAACAUUGUGUUUGUUUUAAAUCGGAGUAAAUUCGUCAAAACGGAGCAGAGAAGAGAUUAGGCAAAAACGUCUUCUGGAUAAGAUUUUUCUAGAGCUUCAAACCCUAACUAUUUUGCGGCAUUUAACAGAUUUGAGAGUACAACUAUACCAUCAGAGACAUUUCAUUUUUGAAUUUGUGAGAUUCUUCAAGUUAUAAACGAGGGGAUGCCUAGAUGGGAUGAGUUUAAUGUAAGCAAAUCCAUCAGUAAAUUGAAGGUGGACAUGAUGAGUUCAUAAAUGAAGCAGGUAUGGCAGCUGCAACUGAAGAUAAAGAAACUCACUCAUAUGAAAUAGACCCUGCUCAGGUACAUGAAUGUGGAAAUUCUUCUGGGGUAAAUUUAUUAGACAAAGUGACUACAUUACAAUUAUUCUUGUAUACCAAUUAGACUUUCAUUUCGGAUAGAUUUUAUUUUAUUUAUGUAUUUUAAUUUAUGGAGUUUCUAAUGAAAUAUUAUCACAAAUAUAGUAUUAACUUUUUAGAAUUAUAUGAUCAUGGAUGAUAUUUUUUAGGACUGUUUUGGUUGUUUUAA
Molecule: long non-coding RNA, 868 nt
Organism: Nicotiana attenuata
Lineage: Eukaryota; Viridiplantae; Streptophyta; Magnoliopsida; Solanales; Solanaceae
Exons: 5
Source: RefSeq, a predicted model, not a curated record